RNAcentral lists this transfer RNA (73 nucleotides) under Candidatus Kuenenbacteria bacterium CG10_big_fil_rev_8_21_14_0_10_36_11. RNAcentral's name for it is "tRNA-Ala". It matches the Rfam family "tRNA". From Rfam's summary of the family: Transfer RNA (tRNA) molecules are approximately 80 nucleotides in length. Lineage: Bacteria; Candidatus Kueneniibacteriota. The record is from RNAcentral.
GGGCCAGUAGCUCAGUUAGUAGAGCGCCACAUUCGCAUUGUGGAGGUCAGGGGUGCGAGACCCCUCUGGUCCA